Long non-coding RNA from Bufo bufo (common toad), 188 nucleotides. RefSeq lists it as uncharacterized. The transcript is spliced from 3 exons. The record is from RefSeq and is a predicted model, not a curated record. Lineage: Eukaryota; Metazoa; Chordata; Amphibia; Anura; Bufonidae.
CUUCUCAUUGUUCUUCUCAUGUAUCAGAUUACUAGACGUCUUCUUCACUGUGGAGUAAUCCUCUCCAGUAAGCAGGAGGAGUAUCUCUAGGGUAAGAUCUAACAUCCUCUCCGCCAUCUUGUCCCCGUCUCCAUCCAUUAUCUGGUACUGAUGAUGUCAUCGGACAAUCCUAUAUCACAGGAACCUGA